AUUAGAUCCGCUAAGUGAGUGCCUGUUCUGUGCACCAUUGCAAAACACAUUUCAGAAAGCAGUGGAUUCGCCUUAAAUGAGUAUCUGCUGGAGGAGCAAAGCCCUAGGAAAACAAAGGGGCACGCCAGGCCUGUCUCAGAGCACACAGCUCAGAGCAGCAGGGAAGUUGCUUAGCAAAGGGCCACCCACUUGCCUAUUAUUCCUUCCUCGCCUGUGACAUGACACAAGAACAAAGUAGACAUUAACCGCUACAUUAAACCCAGAAAGAAAGUAAUCAGUAACCUGUUAUUCCCUUAAUAAAGGGAAACACAUGCAGUGUGAAAUCCAGAAGACUAAUCAAUAGCCGCAGACAAUGCAAUGUGCCAAACAAAUUGCAAAUCAAUUAGAAUCCUUGUUUUCUUUGAAAUGGUUCACUAUAUCUAAAGCAAUUACUCCUUCAUUAGACCUAAUUUAACAGCAUGACUACCCUGGCUACAACUGGCAGCGUCUGGCUAUCAAAUGGAAGAAUGGCAGCUUAUUUCUGUCUGUCUGUGAGUCUAGCACCAAUCAAGAAAAAAAAUGAAUUCCUUUAUAUGAGAGAAACUUUUAAUGAAUGGGUGGAUAUUUGUUUUAAUCCAAAUAUCGGUACCAGAAUGAGAG
RNAcentral lists this long non-coding RNA (639 nucleotides) under Homo sapiens (human). Its description in RNAcentral is "HSALNT0209650". The record is from RNAcentral. Lineage: Eukaryota; Metazoa; Chordata; Mammalia; Primates; Hominidae.